RNAcentral lists this long non-coding RNA (519 nucleotides) under Anser brachyrhynchus (Pink-footed goose). RNAcentral describes it as "lncRNA (ENSABRG00000020409.1)". The record is from RNAcentral. Lineage: Eukaryota; Metazoa; Chordata; Aves; Anseriformes; Anatidae.
AGGGUUCAAAGCUCUAUUCUCCCCUGCCGUCCCAUCACACAUCUGUGUGUGCAUCAGAGAUCUUCCCUUGGCUCACCAGCUCACCCCGUGCAUCCCGCAGCUGAACCUGCAGGAAUGAAGGAACUGUACACCAUUCCGCAUCUCUUUUAGCAAAGUAUCCAGCACAGUAACAAAAACCACAAGCUGCAGAACUUUGGUACAGUAUCUGGGAACCAAAGACUGUGGAUAGUUGUGGAUCGGAAAUGGGACAGGUAGCUGUGACAGUUGUAUGUACUGUAGAGGUAAAGAAGAAAACCCCUUUGAGACCAGAGGCUGCUGAGGAAAUGUUUUCCAAGAAAUAUUUCUCAUCACUUCAGUGUCCAUGAGCUAUUAAAUCACUAUAAGGGUACUGCUAAUUUGACUUCCUCUACCUAAACAAACUGUGCUAUUCUUUGAAGAUCUCAACUAAGGCUUGAAUAGGUUCAGCUCGCAAUAAUUCAGCUGAAAGCAUUAGGUUAAUUAAUCUUAUUUAAAAAUCAG